ACACGACUACAUUAGAUACCCCUGUAGUCCUAGCCGUAAACGAUGCUCGCUAGGUGUCGGCCACGGUGCGACCGUUGUCGGUGCCGUAGGGAAGCCGUGAAGCGAGCCACCUGGGAAGUACGGCCGCAAGGCUGAAACUUAAAGGAAUUGGCGGGGGAGCACAACAACGGGUGGAGCUUGCGGUUUAAUUGGAUUCAACGCCGGAAAUCUUACCGGGACCGACAGCAACAUGAAGGCCAAGCUGAAGACUUUGCCGGAUUAGCUG
RNAcentral lists this ribosomal RNA (265 nucleotides) under uncultured archaeon. Its description in RNAcentral is "partial 16S ribosomal RNA". It matches the Rfam family "Archaeal small subunit ribosomal RNA", at positions 717 to 982 of the family's 1478-position model. The record is from RNAcentral.